ACUUUGCCAAAUUACAGUGUUUUUUUCCCCUUCCCCUUAGUGGCCUUUCCUCUUCUUUCUCACUCUCGCCGAGAUGGCGUCGAACUCAUUUUUGAUGCUAUUACCGGCAUGGUAUCAUGCAAUUUUUAUGAGGUCUGUACACCUUAAUGAUUGCAUUUAUUGUUCAUGUAUNAACAUCGCAAACCUUGGUCAAAGACUAGGCAACUCGCUUCUAAAAUAGCACAGUUUAGCCUAGUAUUUGAUAUGGUUGGGGGCCUAUUUAUUAUCUAUUUUACCACCUGUUUCAAAGGGAAUUCAAGAGGGCAAAGCUAGAAGGGACGUCCAUUCAUGUUUUAUUCAUCUGUUGAGUCUCUUUUUUCAAUCAUCUUUAAAGAUCUUGUAUAAGUAGAAUACUAAAUACGUAAUUUUACUAAAUGUCUGAGCUUUUUAUUGCGCAAGAACUUCGAACGUCUCUUAAACAUCUUCUUUUCAUCGACGAAAAAAUGUCUAAGUCCAGUGUAGAGGGGAUAGAAGGACUACACUGAAGCUAGUUGGAUUAUUUCCACAGCAUUUACUGCUUAUUAUCCAAGCUCUUAAUCAAACAUCGAGAGGAAGGUUGAAAAUCUCAAUGGAAAGUCCAACUAGCCGGAGAAAAAUGCUUCAUUUCAUUUUAUUUGUCUAUAACCUUUCAGUUAUAGCAAGAAGUUCAGCUCAAGUUUCUAGGCCGAUAUCAUUCGAGCACAAAAUUCUCCAAGACGUUUUUCACCUUUAUGACAAAGAUGCCCAUCCAGGGGGAGGCAUGAAAGUCAAUGUCGUUUUUGGCGCCAGACUUGCUCGCCUUGUGAAAGUCGAAGAGGUUAAUAACAUUAUCAAGGCUCAAUGGUGGAUGAAACAGGUUGGUAAUGGAGAUUUUUUCUGUUCCCAAAAAAUAAUUCCGAUCUAAGAAGUACACCAGGGAUAUGGGGUGGGGAACGAAGGGACGAGACCCAGGAUGAU
RNAcentral lists this long non-coding RNA (975 nucleotides) under Actinia tenebrosa (Australian red waratah sea anemone). RNAcentral describes it as "uncharacterized LOC116304365, transcript variant X2". Lineage: Eukaryota; Metazoa; Cnidaria; Anthozoa; Actiniaria; Actiniidae. The record is from RNAcentral.